Long non-coding RNA from Bactrocera dorsalis (oriental fruit fly), 5969 nucleotides. RefSeq lists it as uncharacterized. The record is from RefSeq and is a predicted model, not a curated record. NCBI's taxonomy places the organism in Eukaryota, Metazoa, Arthropoda, Insecta, Diptera, Tephritidae. The transcript has 4 exons.
AAUACAGCGGACCAUACACUAUAACUAAGAACAGAAAUCUAGUUUCUAUCUGAUAAACAAUAGCGGCAGCGACCUCGCAAAAAGUUGUGUAAAGACUAGUUAAAAAAUCCGACUUGUUGUUACUCUCAAUAAAUAAAGAUGCGAUGAAAAAAAGUUACCUCAUUUAUUGAUUUUAUUGAAUCAGUGCGAAUGAGAAAACAUAAUUGUACAUAGUGCAAUAGUGCCAAAAGAAAAUCCCAAAAAGGGUGAUAAAAAAAACGAUUGAAACACGCAUGUCAUUCGCGCUCGUACAACAAGAAGCAUUGGAAAUCAGGUGAACAGAAUUGGAAAUAGGAGCAGCAGCAAUAUCAUCAGAAGCAGCAAAUAUAAAUUGUUAAGUAUGUGAAAAUAAGUGUGUUGUUUGAAAUUUUUUGAUUGAAUGUAUUUACAUUUCUGUAAAAAUUGUAUAUUAAUAAAGAAGAAAUAAAAAAAUUAUUAAAUAUAAAUUUAAAAUGUUUGUUUAGAAUUCUAAAAAUAUUUUAAGUUAGGAAUCAAAAAAUGUAACCCUGCACCAGCUGACGAUUAGGGUAAUUAGAGCAGUUCGACUAUGUUUAUAUAAGUUAAGAUAGCAAGUGUAGCUACAUCUACAAUUUCUUUGGCUGCAGUGAGCGGCUUGAUUUUUUACUCAAUAAUGAGCAUCAUUAUUACUCAGCGCAUGCGUUAUCACAACAACAACAACAAGCACAGCUUCUCGGGUGUGCGCUGCUCCAUUUCAUACUCGAGCAUAGCAACAACGAUGUCGUGCUGCAAUGAAGUAACAAUACAUUGCGCUCCACUAGCGGAUAAUGGAUUAAGAGCUCAAACAGAAAUACGGCACUUAAGAAAACGAGGAAUAAUUAUUGCCAAACUCUACUAAUUACGCUCAAGACGCAAUGCGACAAUCGGUAAGGACUCGCACCGUAAUACCGCACUAAGGGAAGUGGGAAAUAGUUGUUGCAUAGCCUUGCGAAUAACACUCAAGCCGCAAUGCGGCAAUCGGUGCAUCUGGUAAAAUAUUGGGUUGGUUGAUCGCGGAGUAAUUUAUUAAAGCUCAAAAUAAAAUCUGCAUUAAAACGACUAGGUCAGCCUUAACUUAUAUAUUUAACUUACAUAUAUGACACUGCUAAUGAGCGCACCAGAGAUGUAUUACUAUGUUCGGACCGACAUUGAAAACAUUUUGAAAACACAUUUGUAUGUUGUGGAAUGUACUCGUAAGUCGUUCGGACCGACAAUUUGUGUUUUCGUUGAGUUUUCACAGACAGCUCACAAAUUUAUUUGUUUGUUUACAUUUGAGCAACGAGAAUGGUAAGUUUUGAAAUCCUUAAUACUUGCUUAUAAUUAUUACUAAAUAUCGUGUUUUUUAGAAUUCUGAGAAAAAGAUGUUAAUUGCGAAAGCAUUUGCUUUGAGAAGCCAAAUAAAUAUCCUGCUCAACGACAAUUCUUCAAGAGAACUAUUGGAAUGUCUUACUACUCAGCGCCAUGCCUUGACAAAAAAGAUAGCCGAGUUAAAGAAACAACAUCUAAUCGUAUUAGAUUUAAUGAAGGACCUUGGGAUGCCGAUUAAUUCAUGUUGGACAAAACUGUGUAUAUGUUCCUACUGAUGCAGAAGUUUUCAAUUAUAUAUUAUUAAUUCCAGCAACGUACGAAUCAGUUUUGGGAACACGAUUGCCGACGAAACAGAUCUGCUUUUUUUAAAGAGUACUUUCGCAUGGACCGAAGUUCCUUUGAUAAAUGAUGUGACAUCGUGCGCCCGUUACAAAAAAUGAAUACAAAUUACCAGAAAGCUAUUCGUAUCGAGAAAAGAGUGGCUAUAACAUUAUUUGCUUUAGGGUCAUCUGCAGAGUAUCGUAGUAUCGCCAACAUGUUCGGUGUAGGAAAAUCUACGGUUCCGGGAUUGCUGCAACCAUUCUAUUUUAAAAUGUUUCCUCUAAACAGAGAAAAUAUAACCGAAUUGGUGACUGGUUUCGAGGUAAUUGGAUUCCCACAAUGCUUAGGAGCAAUUGGUAAAUCUUCUUCUUAAUUGGCGUAGACACCGCUUACGCGAUUAUAGCCGAGUUAACAACAGCGCGCCAGCCGUUUCUUCUUUCCGCUACGUAGCUUCAAUUGGAUAUUCCAAUCGAAGCCAGGACCUUCUCCACUUGGUCCUUCCAACGAAGUGGAGGUGUUCUUCUUCCUCUGGGGUACUGCGUCGAAUACUUUCAGAGCUGAAGUGUUUUCGUCGAUCCGGACAACAUGACCUAGCCAACGUAGCCGCUGUCUUUUAAUUCGCUGAACUGUGUCAAUGUCGUCGUAUAUCUCGUAAAGCUCAUCGUUCCAUCGAAUGCGAUAUUUGCCGUGGCUAACGCGCAAAGGACCAUAAAUCUUUCGCAGAACUUUUCUCUCGAAAACUCGCAACGCCGACUCAUCCGUUGUUGACAUCGUCCAAGCCUCUGCACCAUAUAGCAGGACGGGAAUUAUGAGCGACUUAUAGAGUUUGAUUUUUGUUUGUCGAGAGAGGACUUUGCUUCUCAAUUGCCUACUCAGUCCAAAGUAGCACCUGUUGGCAAGAGUUAUCCUGCGUUGGAUUUCUAGGCUGACAUUGUUGGUCGAGUUUACGCUAGUUCCAAUAUAGACGAAAGUAUCUACAACUUCAAAAUAAUGACUGUCAACAAUGACGUGAGUGCCAAGUCGCGAGUAAGACGACUGUUUGUUUGAUGACAGGAGAUAUUUCGUCUUGCCCUCGUUCACUGCCAGACCCAUUUGCGUUGCUUCCUUGUCCAGUAUGGAGAAAGCAGAACUAACGGCGCGGGUGUAGAGGCCGAUGAUAUCAAUAUCAUCGGCAUACACCAGCAGUUGUACACUCUUAUAGAAGAUGGUACCUUCUCUAUUUAGUUCUCCAGCUCGAACUAUUUUCUCCAGAAGCAGAAUGAAAAAGUCGCACGAUAGGGAAUCGCCUUGUCUGAAACCUCAUUUGGUAUCGAACGGCUCGGAAAGGUCCUUCCCGAUUCUGACGGAGCUUUUGGUAUUGCUCAACGUCAGCUUACACAUCUGUAUUAGUUUUGCAAUUGGUUAUAAAAUAUUAAAUUUGCGCUAAUGUUCUAAUAAUUGUUUACAGACAGAUGCGACAUUGAGAUUCAUCCAUCAUCUGACGAAGGUGUGGAUUAUUAUAAUUAUAAAGGAUGGUAUUCCACCGUUUUAAUGGUAUUAGUUGAUGCUAAGUAAAGUCUAAAAACUCAAUAUACCUAUAAGUACAAAAGUAAUGUUUACAAUGUAUUUUCAGAUACCGUUUUCCUUACAUAAACGUAGGAAGUCCCGGGUGAUGUAAUGACUCUCAAAUUUAUGAGACGUCAUCACUUAAGAAAGAAAUUGAUAGUUGUCCUUUACUAAGCGAAAUGUCGAGAGAAAUUUCAGACGUAAAUAUGCCAGUAUUCAUUAUUGGGGACGCGCUUUGGAAGAGUUGGAGACUAGACGGCAAAAUCCGUGUGAUGUUUCAUAUGCACCUGACGAUCCAAUUAAUGGAUAAAUGAUUCGGACAGCACUUUGUACAUAUUUUGCGCGAAUCCGUCGCUGUGCGUUUAGGACAUCUCAGUCGCCGCUUGGAGCUCCCGUGAGGCGUGCUUGUCAAUGCGGUAAGUGUCACUGAUUUUGAAAUAUAACGACCGCGUGAGUCGAAAUGACGCAUGACUAUCUUUUACGUAUCUUUUAAGAUUUUAACUUAUACGAUAAUUAUAUUGUUAUUUCAUGUUCUACUUACGUGAUAACUUAUUAUAUAUAUAUUUGUUUUCUUGUUAUAGAUAUCGUGACUAAAAUAUAAUAAAAUGGGUAGUCCUUUAGACAAUGAGCGUAUCCUCUCUGCUCUUCUGCAAAGCGAUGACGAGCUCGUUGGUGAGGAUUCUGACAGUGAAAUAUCAGAUCACGUAAGUGAAGAUGACGUCCAGAGCGAUACAGAAGAAGCGAAAUAUUAGAACAAAAUAUUAUUGAACAACCAGGUUCUUCAUUGGCUUCUAACAGAAUCUUGACCUUGCCACAGAGGACUAUUAGAGGUAAGAAUAAACAUUGUUGGUCAACUUCAAAGUCCACGAGGCGUAGCCGAGUCUCUGCACUGAACAUUGUCAGAUCUCAAAGAGGUCCGACGCGUAUGUGCCGCAAUAUAUAUGACCCACUUUUAUGCUUCAAACUAUUUUUUACUGAUGAGAUAAUUUCGGAAAUCGUAAAAUGGACAAAUGCUGAGAUAUCAUUGAAACGUCGGGAAUCUAUGACAGGUGCUACAUUUCGAGACACGAAUGAAGAUGAAAUCCAUGCUUUGUUUGGUAUUCUGGUAAUGACAGCAGUGAGAAAAGAUAACCACAUGUCCACAGAUGACCUCUAUGAUCGAUCUUUGUCAAUGGUGUACGUCUCUGUAAUGAGUCGUGAUCGUUUUGAUUUUUUGAUACGAUGUCUUCGAAUGGAUGACAAAAGUAUACGGCCCACACUUCGAGGAAACGAUGUAUUUACUCCUGUUAGAAAAAUAUGGGAUCUCUUUAUCCAUCAGUGCAUACAUAAUUACACUCCAGGGGCUCAUUUGACCAUAGAUGAACAGUUACUUGGGUUUAGAGGACGGUGUCCGUUUAGAAUGUAUAUUCCCAACAAGCCAAGUAAGUAUGGAAUAAAAAUCCUCAUGAUGUGUGACAGUGGUACAAAGCACAUGAUAAAUGGAAUGCCUUAUUUGGAAAGAGGAACUCAGACCAACGGAGUACCACUCGGUGAAUACUACGUGAAGGAGUUAUCAAAGCCUGUGCACGGUAGUUGUCGUAAUAUUACGUGUGAAAAUUGGUUCACCUCAAUCCCUUUGGCAAAAAACUUACUACAAGAACCGUACAAGUUAACCAUUGUGGAUCAAACAAACGCGAGAUACCGGAAGUACUGAAAAACAGUCGCUCCAGGCCAGUGGGGACAUCGAUGUUUUGUUUUGACGGACCCCUUACUCUCGUCUCCAAUAAACCGAAGCCAGCUAAGAUGGUAUACUUAUUAUCAUCUUGUGAUGAGGAUGCUUCCAUCAACGAAAGUACCGGUAAACCGCAAAUGAUUAUGUAUUAUAACCAGACUAAAGGCGGAGUGGACACGCUAGACCAAAUGUGUUCUGUGAUGUCCUGCAGUAGGAAGACGAAUAGGUGGCCUAUGGCAUUAUUGUACGGAAUGAUAAACAUUGCCUGCAUAAAUUCUUUUAUUAUAUACAGCCAUAAUGUUAGUAGCAAGGGAGAAAAGGUUCAAAGUCGCAAAAAUUUUAUGAAAAACCUUAACAUGAGCCUGACGUCAUCGUUUAUGCGUAAGCGUUUAGAAGCUCCUACUUUGAAGAGAUAUUUGCGCGAUAAUAUCUCUAAUAUUUUGCCAAAUGAAAUGCCUGGUACAUCAGAAGACAGUACUGAAGAGCCAGUAACGAAAAAACGUACUUACUGUACUUACUGCCCCUCUAAAAUAAGGCGAAAGGCAAAUGCAUCGUGCAAAAAAUGCAAAAAAGUUAUUUGUCGAGAGCAUAAUAUUGAUAUUUGCCAAAGUUGUUUCUGACUGACUAAUAAGUAAAAUUUGUUUCUAAUAUGUAUAAGAUAUGCUAAUUAUUUAUUUUAUAAUACAACACGACUGAUUUCAUAGUACAAAAUAAGUUUAUUUUGUAAAAGAGAGAAUGUUUAAAAGUUUUGUUACUUUAUAGAAGAAGUUUUAAGUUUUUGUUUUUUUUUUAAUGAAUAAAUAAACAUAAAUAAAUUAUUUGUUGAAUUUAUUAUUAGUAUGUAAGUGUAAAUAUAAUAAAACGUAAUAUCUAUUCAAAUUAAUAAAUAAACCUCGAUAUACAGACCGAUAAAACACAUGCGUCAAUUUUACGCAUGAUUAUCUUUAACGUACGUCACAAUAUGAUUAUCUUUCUAGGGUUAAAUUCCUGGCUUUCUCGAGCUGUUUUUCAAUUUUUUUAAUAUGAGGCUCUGAAAAUGAUUCCUUUU